This 469-nucleotide ribosomal RNA is filed under the name uncultured bacterium. RNAcentral's name for it is "partial 16S ribosomal RNA". It matches the Rfam family "Bacterial small subunit ribosomal RNA", at positions 28 to 507 of the family's 1533-position model. The record is from RNAcentral.
GACGAACGCUGGCGGCGUGCUUAACACAUGCAAGUCGAACGGAAAGGCCCUGCUUUUGUGGGGUGCUCGAGUGGCGAACGGGUGAGUAACACGUGAGUAACCUGCCCUUGACUUUGGGAUAACUUCAGGAAACUGGGGCUAAUACCGGAUAGGAGCUCCUGCUGCAUGGUGGGGGUUGGAAAGUUUCGGCGGUUGGGGAUGGACUCGCGGCUUAUCAGCUUGUUGGUGGGGUAGUGGCUUACCAAGGCUUUGACGGGUAGCCGGCCGGGGGGGGUGACCGGGCACAGUGGGGCUGAGCUACGGCCCAGACUCCCACGGGGGGCAGGAGGGGGGAAUUUUGCACAAGGGGGGGAAGCCUGAUGCCGCAACGCCGCGGGGGGGAUGGCGGCCUUUGGGUUGGAAACCGCCUUCCGCAGGGGCGAAGCGUGGGGUGACGGUAGCGGCAAAAGAAGCACCGGCUAACUACGUG